Molecule: transfer RNA, 71 nt
Filed under: Candidatus Nealsonbacteria bacterium CG07_land_8_20_14_0_80_39_13
Lineage: Bacteria; Candidatus Nealsoniibacteriota
Also listed under: 1 other name
Description: tRNA-Pro
Rfam family: tRNA
About the family: Transfer RNA (tRNA) molecules are approximately 80 nucleotides in length. Their secondary structure includes four short double-helical elements and three loops (D, anti-codon, and T loops).
Source: RNAcentral
CGGGCUAUAGUAUAAUGGUAGUAUUUGCCCUUGGGGUGGGUAAGACCCCGGUUCAAAUCCGGGUAGCCCGA